Molecule: ribosomal RNA, 433 nt
Filed under: uncultured bacterium
Lineage: Bacteria
Description: partial 16S ribosomal RNA
Rfam family: Bacterial small subunit ribosomal RNA
Source: RNAcentral
AACGAACGCUGGCGGCAGGCCUAACACAUGCAAGUCGAGCGAGGACUUCGGUCCUAGCGGCGGACGGGUGAGUAACGCGUGGGAACGUGCCCUUUGCUUCGGAAUAGCCCUGGGAAACUGGGAGUAAUACCGGAUGAGCCCUUUGGGGGAAAGAUUUAUCGGCGAAGGAUCGGCCCGCGUUGGAUUAGGUAGUUGGUGGGGUAAUGGCCUACCAAGCCGACGAUCCAUAGCUGGUUUGAGAGGAUGAUCAGCCGCACUGGGACUGAGACACGGCCCAGACUCCUACGGGAGGCAGCAGUGGGGAAUCUUAGACAAUGGGGGAAACCCUGAUCUAGCCAUGCCGCGUGAGCGAUGAAGGCCUUAGGGUUGUAAAGCUCUUUCAGCUGGGAAGAUAAUGACGGUACCAGCAGAAGAAGCCCCGGCUAACUCCGUG